AAGAGACAGCAGCAGCCGCGGUAAUACCGAGGGUGCAAGCGUUAAUCGGAAUUACUGGGCGUAAAGCGCGCGUAGGUGGUUUGUUAAGUUGGAUGUGAAAUCCCCGGGCUCAACCUGGGAACUGCAUUCAAAACUGACUGACUAGAGUAUGGUAGAGGGUGGUGGAAUUUCCUGUGUAGCGGUGAAAUGCGUAGAUAUAGGAAGGAACACCAGUGGCGAAGGCGACCACCUGGACUAAUACUGACACUGAGGUGCGAAAGCGUGGGGAGCAAACAGGAUUAGAUACCCCGGUAGUCCCUGUCUCUUAUAC
Molecule: ribosomal RNA, 310 nt
Filed under: uncultured bacterium
Lineage: Bacteria
Description: partial 16S ribosomal RNA
Rfam family: Bacterial small subunit ribosomal RNA
Source: RNAcentral